GACGAACGCUGGCGGCGUGCCUAACACAUGCAAGUCGAACGAGAUCCAUGGGAGCUUGCUCCCGGAAGAUCUAGUGGCGAACGGGUGAGUAACACGUGAGAAACCUGCCCUGGAGUGGGGAAUAACUCGGGGAAACUCGAGCUAAUACCGCAUACCCUCGGAUGGUCGCAUGGCCGACCGAGGAAAGAUUUAUCGCUCUAGGAGGGUCUCGCGGCCUAUCAGCUAGUUGGUGGGUAACGCCUACCAAGGCAGCGACGGGUAGCUGGUUUGAGAGAACGAUCAGCCACACUGGGACUGAGACACGGCCCAGACUCCUACGGGAGGCAGCAGUGGGGAAUCUUGCGCAAUGGGCGAAAGCCUGACGCAGCAACGCCGCGUGCGGGAUG
RNAcentral lists this ribosomal RNA (386 nucleotides) under uncultured bacterium. RNAcentral describes it as "bacterial SSU rRNA". It matches the Rfam family "Bacterial small subunit ribosomal RNA", at positions 28 to 410 of the family's 1533-position model. The record is from RNAcentral.